Lactuca sativa (garden lettuce) is the source of this 1665-nucleotide non-coding RNA. Lineage: Eukaryota; Viridiplantae; Streptophyta; Magnoliopsida; Asterales; Asteraceae. The record is from RefSeq and is a predicted model, not a curated record.
AGUAAUGCAAGUGAUGCUCUUGAUAAGCUGAUGUUCUUAAGUGUAACGGAUCCCUCAUUACUUGGAGAUGCUGAGACACUGGUAUUGGAAUGACCAAAGAAGAACUAAUAAACUGCCUUGGAACCAUUUCUCAAAGUGUUUUAAGAUUCCCAGAAGCUAGUGUAAGGUUUUUACCACCUCAGCAUUGCCAGGUCGACGCCUAGCUGUCACAACAGGAAUUCGCUGGACAAACAAAAACAUUACAGGUUGACGCCUACUUUCGGUUUUAUUAUUAUUAUAGCAGUGAAAAUUGUUGGGAUUUGGAUGAGAUUGCUAUACUUGGGUAAAUUUUCUUAAAAUAAACAACUAAAUACAAGUAUAUUUUCUUUAUCAACAUUGGGUAGAAACUAGAUAACAUAUUUACAAGAUUGUAAUUGUAAUACCUUUCCGGAUGCCUUUUCAAAAGCUGCUACCAUCUCCAACACAUAUGUGCCCUUACCCGUUCCUAAGUUGUAGACUUCACAGCCUAAAAAAAAGAUAAUGGUUUGAUUUAAUGUCAAACAGAACAAAAUUUCCAAAACUAAAAAAUGUCAUCUGCAAUCAGAAAGAGAUACACACCUAUAUUACGGUCCGAGAGUAUCUUCAAAGCAGCAGUGUGUCCAUCUGCUAAAUUUACAACAUGGAUGUAAUCACGUACCUGAAAUUUGAGGGUAGAAAAGGUAAAUAUCAACAUCAUAAUUCCCAACAAACAGCAACAGGAGGAAAACUCAAUAGAACCUUAAAUAAGGGAAUUUCAAAUUCCAACAAACAGCAACAUAACACAAAAAAGAAACCAACCCAAAGUAUAGAUAGAUGCAGAAAGCAUAAAUAUUCACUGAAAUAGAAAUUAAAGAUUGAGUUAAGUAAAAGAAAAGAUGUCAUACCAUCUUGCAUUACAGUUUCCUCAUGUUGUCUAAGACGCAUCACAAGGGCUAAGUAAAAGAAAAGAUGUAAUACCAUCUUGCAUAACUGUUGAAAUUAACAUGAACAUUAGUUGCACAAAAAACGUAUAUGAUGAUUAUGGUACACUAUGUAUAAUAUAAGGGUGUACUUUGAACACAUAGUUAUGUGUUUAUGCGAAUAUUGUAGUAAAAGCAAGAGAAAGCAGAAGGCUCAGAAGCAGGCUGGAUCGAGAUAUGGACAUCAUGGGGAUCUUGUGUUCAGGCUUUGAGCUUGUUUCUGAACCCUUCUGAGUGAAGAAGUAUGAAGGUUAAUUUGUGUUUAGAUGACGAUGAGGGGUGGAUUUAUAUGUAGAGGAAGAUGAUAGAUAGGAAGAAGACUACCCAAUCUCAUAUUCUCCCCAAAUCACUCCAAACCCUAACCCCCAAUUCACUAAUUCAAUAGUGGGAUUAAUUUUGUAUUUACGGGAAGAUACAUAGGAAGAAGAUGAAUACGAAAGUAAAUACGUACCGUUGAAUAUUUUUCUCCUUCUUCAGCCUUGACUUUUGAAAAUCUUCCACCUCUUCAUCCUCUUACCCUCUUCCCACACAGAAAAAGUGAGGACUCCAGAGUAGUCAACCGUGUUAUGUAAUUGCUUCACCAUUGGGCCCCACCGUAAGUUGCAGUAGGGCGUUGUCAACGUGAAGAGUUGCAGAUCCCCAAUCGCCGGUUCUAUGAAGGAUUUUGUGAUGUCCGCAUCCCUAGUUC